CGCAAUCGAAUCGGAUAGAGAUCCAGAAAGAGGAGCCCAGGAAUGAGAGAGGCAGGGGGAUGAACAGUGGCUUUUUAGCUCGCUAUGAUCUAAUGCAUCGUGAUCUCAGCCAAAAUGGGAGCAAGGGAAUCGGUGGCGUUAUGUAGUCUUCUUCCUCCAUUCCGGGGAGUGUGUAUUUACGGACGAGAUAGUGAAUCCCGCAGUACAGCAUCACGGGGCGUAGGAUUGGAACGCGCUUUUGACGAACUUGGAUUCUUCCACCGGUAAAAAUGCAGAGGAUUGCGCGAAAGGCUUGAUUUUCUUCUUUCUUUUCCCCAAGCAAGCACGAUUUUCGCCCCUCACGCAAGAAGUGAGUUUUAAAAACAAAGGAUCUCCUUUGGCAAGUUGCUGGUGUCAAAAGAAUCCAUAGAGUUUGUAAA
Molecule: long non-coding RNA, 419 nt
Organism: Selaginella moellendorffii
Lineage: Eukaryota; Viridiplantae; Streptophyta; Lycopodiopsida; Selaginellales; Selaginellaceae
Exons: 2
Source: RefSeq, a predicted model, not a curated record